This 948-nucleotide non-coding RNA is filed under the name Massilia sp. BSC265. Its description in RNAcentral is "Bacterial small subunit ribosomal RNA". It matches the Rfam family "Bacterial small subunit ribosomal RNA", at positions 1 to 947 of the family's 1533-position model. Lineage: Bacteria; Pseudomonadati; Pseudomonadota; Betaproteobacteria; Burkholderiales; Oxalobacteraceae. The record is from Rfam by way of RNAcentral.
GAACUGAAGAGUUUGAUCCUGGCUCAGAUUGAACGCUGGCGGCAUGCUUUACACAUGCAAGUCGAACGGCAGCGCGGGGCAACCUGGCGGCGAGUGGCGAACGGGUGAGUAAUAUAUCGGAACGUACCCAGAAGUGGGGGAUAACGUAGCGAAAGUUACGCUAAUACCGCAUACGAUCUACGGAUGAAAGUGGGGGACCUUCGGGCCUCAUGCUUGUGGAGCGGCCGAUAUCUGAUUAGCUAGUUGGUAGGGUAAAGGCCUACCAAGGCGACGAUCAGUAGCUGGUCUGAGAGGACGACCAGCCACACUGGGACUGAGACACGGCCCAGACUCCUACGGGAGGCAGCAGUGGGGAAUUUUGGACAAUGGGCGCAAGCCUGAUCCAGCAAUGCCGCGUGAGUGAAGAAGGCCUUCGGGUUGUAAAGCUCUUUUGUCAGGGAAGAAACGGCCGAGGCUAAUACCUUUGGCUAAUGACGGUACCUGAAGAAUAAGCACCGGCUAACUACGUGCCAGCAGCCGCGGUAAUACGUAGGGUGCAAGCGUUAAUCGGAAUUACUGGGCGUAAAGCGUGCGCAGGCGGUUUUGUAAGUCUGACGUGAAAGCCCCGGGCUCAACCUGGGAAUUGCGUUGGAGACUGCAAGGCUUGAAUCUGGCAGAGGGGGGUAGAAUUCCACGUGUAGCAGUGAAAUGCGUAGAGAUGUGGAGGAACACCGAUGGCGAAGGCAGCCCCCUGGGUCAAGAUUGACGCUCAUGCACGAAAGCGUGGGGAGCAAACAGGAGUAGAUACCCUGGUAGUCCACGCCCUAAACGAUGUCUACUAGUUGUCGGGUUUUAAUUAACUUGGUAACGCAGCUAACGCGUGAAGUAGACCGCCUGGGGAGUACGGUCGCAAGAUUAAAACUCAAAGGAAUUGACGGGGACCCGCACAAGCGGUGGAUGAUGUGGAUU